UAUUAAUAAUUAUCAUAUAAUUAUUUUUAAUUUACGAAAAUAAAAAAUGUUUGAAAAUCUCAUCGAAUAAUGUAGACUGUCUGAAUGAUCGUCCUUUUCAAAUGAUGUUUAAUCGGAGCGAGAUUAGUCUCAUUUUGAAAUCUUCGAUGCGCUGAAUUCAACGGUGAUCUUGGAUUACUGAUCCGACGGUCAGAUCGUCAUAAAAAAGGCUGACAAGUCAUUGUCAAAUCCAUUUUCUCUCUUCUUUCUCUCACCAGAUCUCCUUCCUCCGGCCACCAUCAGAAGCAAGGAUGGUACCAAAAGACAGUUGGCUUUGUGGGGAUUUGAAUGCCACCUAACUCGUUAGAAAAAGCCACCAGACGACGAUGAUAUCACGCCUAGAAGAUUGAGUUUGAGCGCACAUGUGGGAGGCCAAAACCACUGCCCUUCGCUGCUCACUGCUGUUCACUGCCGCUGAGCCCUUGGUGGUCGCGGGACCUGCUGGACUCUGUAUGAAGGCUCGCUGAUCAAUGGGUGGCUCGUCGUAGCAAGAAAGCAAAGGAGAGAAAGAGUGAGAGAUAAGAG
This 564-nucleotide unclassified non-coding RNA is filed under the name Hevea brasiliensis (rubber tree). Lineage: Eukaryota; Viridiplantae; Streptophyta; Magnoliopsida; Malpighiales; Euphorbiaceae. The record is from RNAcentral.